CCAUACCGCGUGUAUGAAGAAGGCCUUCGGGUUGUAAAGUACUUUCAGCAGUGAGGAAGGUGGUAGUGUUAAUAGCACUAUCAUUUGACGUUAGCUGCAGAAGAAGCACCGGCUAACUCCGUGCCAGCAGCCGCGGUAAUACGGAGGGUGCGAGCGUUAAUCGGAAUUACUGGGCGUAAAGCGCAUGCAGGUGGUUUGUUAAGUCAGAUGUGAAAGCCCGGGGCUCAACCUCGGAAUUGCAUUUGAAACUGGCAGACUAGAGUACUGUAGAGGGGGGUAGAAUUUCAGGUGUAGCGGUGAAAUGCGUAGAGAUCUGAAGGAAUACCGGUGGCGAAGGCGGCCCCCUGGACAGAUACUGACACUCAGAUGCGAAAGCGUGGGGAGCAAACAGGAUUAGAUACCCUGGUAGUCCACGCCGUAAACGAUGUCUACUUGGAGGUUGUGGCCUUGAGCCGUGGCUUUCGGAGCUAACGCGUUAAGUAGACAGCCUGG
This 492-nucleotide ribosomal RNA is filed under the name Vibrio sp. Its description in RNAcentral is "bacterial SSU rRNA". It matches the Rfam family "Bacterial small subunit ribosomal RNA", at positions 392 to 876 of the family's 1533-position model. Lineage: Bacteria; Pseudomonadati; Pseudomonadota; Gammaproteobacteria; Vibrionales; Vibrionaceae. The record is from RNAcentral.